AGUGAACGCUGGCGGUAGGCCUAACACAUGCAAGUCGAACGGCAGCACAGUAAGAGCUUGCUCUUACGGGUGGCGAGUGGCGGACGGGUGAGGAAUACAUCGGACUCUACUUUUUCGUGGGGGAUAACGUAGGGAAACUUACGCUAAUACCGCAUACGACCUACGGGUGAAAGCAGGGGAUCUUCGGACCUUGCGCGAUUGAAUGAGCCGAUGUCGGAUUAGCUAGUUGGCGGGGUAAAGGCCCACCAAGGCGACGAUCCGUAGCUCGUCGGGGUGGCUGAUAGGCCACACUGGAACUGAGACACGGUCAAGACUCCUACGGGAGGCAGCAGUGGGGAAUAUUAGACAAUGGGCGGAAGCCUGACCCAGCCAUACCGCGUGGGUGAAGAAGGCCUUGGGGUUGUAAAGCCCUUUUGUUGGGAAAGAAAAGCAGCAGGUUAAUACCCCGCUGUUCUGACGGUACCCAAAGAAUAAGCACCGGCUAACUUCGUG
This 492-nucleotide ribosomal RNA is filed under the name uncultured bacterium. RNAcentral's name for it is "partial 16S ribosomal RNA". It matches the Rfam family "Bacterial small subunit ribosomal RNA", at positions 29 to 507 of the family's 1533-position model. The record is from RNAcentral.